This 494-nucleotide long non-coding RNA is filed under the name Capsicum annuum. RNAcentral's name for it is "long non-coding RNA (CANN_LNC020852)". Lineage: Eukaryota; Viridiplantae; Streptophyta; Magnoliopsida; Solanales; Solanaceae. The record is from RNAcentral.
UGUAUCUAUCAUAGGUGUAUAAUGCCUAUUAUAAUGUUAUUCUACUAUUAUUUUUACAAGUACAUAUAUUUUCAUAUCAUGUUAAAGUUCUUUUUAUGAAUAAUCUUUCUUUAUUAUAUGAUAUAGAUAGGAAGGUCUGGAAGACGCGAAUUGCGGCAGAAGAGUAGGGCCAGAUUGGGUCGCUAGUGUUGGGAAUUACUUGGUGGGGUUUUUUUUUUUUAUUUUUUAUUCCCGUUAUGAUUCCGUAUUCAGUGUUCCAUGCUUAUUACGAAUCUGUGUGCUUUCCUCUGCUUUCCUCUGUUUUAUAUUCCUUAUGGGUGCCGUAUUUAUGUUAUGUCAUCUGCUUCUGUGCUUUACUAUGUGUUUGUGUGAUAUCUUGUGCCUUGAGCCGGGAGUCUUUCGGAAACAGCCUUUCUACUUCAUCAGAGGUAGAGGUAUGGACUGCGUACAUCUUACCCCACAGACCCCACUAAGUGGGAAUACACUGGGUUUGU